This 432-nucleotide ribosomal RNA is filed under the name uncultured bacterium. RNAcentral's name for it is "bacterial SSU rRNA". It matches the Rfam family "Bacterial small subunit ribosomal RNA", at positions 45 to 469 of the family's 1533-position model. The record is from RNAcentral.
GGCCUAACACAUGCAAGUCGAGGGGUAACAGGUAGAAAGCUUGCUUUCUAUGCUGACGACCGGCGCACGGGUGAGUAACGCGUAUGCAACCUACCUUUAACAGGAGAAUAGCCCCGAGAAAUCGGGAUUAAUGCUCCAUAAUAUGUUUAGAUCGCAUGGUUUGAACAUUAAAGCUCCGGUGGUUAAAGAUGGGCAUGCGUGACAUUAGCUAGUUGGUACGGUAACGGCGUACCAAGGCAACGAUGUCUAGGGGUUCUGAGAGGAUUGUCCCCCACACUGGUACUGAGACACGGACCAGACUCCUACGGGAGGCAGCCAGUGAGGAAUAUUGGUCAAUGGUCGAGAGACUGAACCAGCCAUGCCGCGUGCAAGAUGACGGCGCUACGCGUUGUAAACUGCUUUUCUACAGGAAGAACUGUACUUACGUGUAAC